RNAcentral lists this ribosomal RNA (253 nucleotides) under uncultured bacterium. RNAcentral's name for it is "partial 16S ribosomal RNA". It matches the Rfam family "Bacterial small subunit ribosomal RNA", at positions 524 to 776 of the family's 1533-position model. The record is from RNAcentral.
UACGGAGGGUGCAAGCGUUAUCCGGAUUCACUGGGUUUAAAGGGUGCGUAGGCGGAUUAGAAAGUCCGUUGUGAAAUCUCUGAGCUUAACUCGGAAAUUGCGGUGGAGACUAUUAAUCUUGAAUACUGUGGAGGUUAGCGGAAUAUGUCAUGUAGCGGUGAAAUGCAAAGAUAUGACAUAGAACACCAAUUGCGAAGGCAGCUGGCUACUCAGAUAUUAACGCUGAGGCACGAAAGCGUGGGGAUCAAACAGG